Molecule: long non-coding RNA, 518 nt
Filed under: Pan troglodytes (chimpanzee)
Lineage: Eukaryota; Metazoa; Chordata; Mammalia; Primates; Hominidae
Description: lincRNA
Source: RNAcentral
CCCAAGACUGUCAGCCCUUCUCCAGGGCUAGCAACAAGCAGAGUGUAGCAGUGAGAAGAUGCUCUUGGCAGGCUCCAGAUAGCUGUGCCCUCAGCCCAGGAGGACUCAGCCAAUGAAGACUCAGCUAAUGAAAGCUCAGCAUGGAGGUGGCAAAGGGCUGCAGCCCCACCAAACUCUUUGCCUCCAGGCGCUGUGGUGGUGAAGAACUGAAAUACACAAACCUUGGGGCUUCCCCUUGUCCCUGAAACUGCAGAAGAUGCUGGCUCGGGAGAACUCAGGUGAGAAAGCUGCUGCAGGAGCCAGAAACCUUGGCAAAGACUCUUUCUUUGCAAGUAAGAAAGCUGGUUGGGAAAGAGGACCAACUGUUCCUUCUAAAUUCCCAGGGAGUGGAGGGUACGUGAGGCCCUGUGAUUCAUUGGCCAGGAGUAUCUGCUCCAGCUGCCAGGCCAGAGUGAUCAAUCCAAAAGUGCUUCUGAAAAUGAGGCCAGACCCACAUUAAUGAAGCCUGAUUGCCUCAG